Molecule: long non-coding RNA, 366 nt
Organism: Drosophila pseudoobscura
Lineage: Eukaryota; Metazoa; Arthropoda; Insecta; Diptera; Drosophilidae
Exons: 2
Source: RefSeq, a predicted model, not a curated record
GCUGGCUGACCAGUGGCUGUUAUUUAUGUGUCAUGUGGGAAAAACAAAAGGGUUCGGGCACCUCACGUCAGAGAAUCGGGGAAAAAAGAGCUCCCUUGCGCGAUCUGGCAUUGAGAACUUUUCCCGAUUGCAGGCCCUUUUGUUUUCAUAACUUUCGCUGUGGAUAUUUAUGGGAAACCAGAGAGAAAACUCCACGUUCGAUGGUCAGCCUGAAGGGGUUGUCCUUGCAGGAGGGAAAAAUCUGCCCAGCAUCAGAUGCUGUUUGUCGAGCAGGAAACUCGGAGAUUUUCUUUACUUAAAAUGAAAAUUAAUUUUGUGGCUUCCCUGUGAUUUUCUUGAUUUAAAAAUAAAUGAAAUUAAAAUUUA